CUACUACUCCCUUCGUCCGAGGAUACUUGUCGAAGAAAUGAAUAAAAAUGGAUGUAUCUAGAACUAAAACACGUCUGGAUACAUCAAUUUCACCGACAAGUAUUUCUGGACGGAGAGAGUAAAGA
Molecule: non-coding RNA, 125 nt
Organism: Triticum aestivum (bread wheat)
Lineage: Eukaryota; Viridiplantae; Streptophyta; Magnoliopsida; Poales; Poaceae
Source: Rfam